This is a long non-coding RNA of Labrus mixtus (cuckoo wrasse), 1357 nucleotides long. RefSeq lists it as uncharacterized. The transcript has 3 exons. The record is from RefSeq and is a predicted model, not a curated record. Lineage: Eukaryota; Metazoa; Chordata; Actinopteri; Labriformes; Labridae.
AGCAGUGGGCGCGCACUGUAGCUGUUCCCACUCAACGUUCUUGAAGCCAAAAUAUGCCGCUUAGGGGCGCUUCCAUCUUGCGAUUUUGACGUCAUUUGGAGCCUGAGUCUGCGCAGUAGGGUCCGGGGGCAGGAGCCCUGGUAACACUCCCCGCCCACUUAGCGUACUGCCCUGAUGACUUACGCAGCCCAGCUACGCCGAAAGCGCUCCGCCGGUCUACAAGUCUUAUGAAGAAAUGUGUAAGUACAACAAACCACCGUAUUCAAAGUCUAAUAUUUAAACACACUGUGUUUUAAAAAAUCCCGCUAUUUUGAUCAUUAUUGAAAAUACGUGGGCUGCUGGGUCCUCUGUUUUUAACAAAAUCGUUCUAUAUUUAAGCUAGGUUAGCACCACAGACCGUAGACUACAGGUGGUAAGAUAUGUUGUAUUCUGUUACAAACUGAUAGUCUGUAAUGUGAUUCAUGUCUGCUUUUCUAAUAUAUUUAAGUGAACAGUAAAUCAAUUGUUUUUUGUAUCUUCAUUUAGGCAAAGAAGAGAUAAAAGCAGCUGGUCUGACAUCUUCCACAGAGGUGAAGUAGGUCAGGCUGGGGUCACAGUUUGAAGGAACCUCCUCCUUCUUUCACCUGUGCCAGACGCCCUGCUCAUCCACUGUGGUAGAAAUGACCUUACACCAGCAGCUCUCCCAGAUGAAGAGUCCUCUCUGCCAUCACCGAUGCUGAUCAACGUCUGCACAACUGAAGAAGGUGGACAGAGUCUGGUGCUUUGUGACAGUGAACAGUGAGAAGGCUACCAUAGUCAUCCUCAGAUAAAACACAGAGAUCCUGGUCAAUAUUCAAUGCUGCUAUUUUCCUUUACAUGAUGUUGCCAUGUGUUUGAAAGGCCAGAUGCUGGAGGGUUGUGUUGGAUUUGCUCUUCCAUCAUACAGUUAAACAAUCAUCCAGGAUCUUUAUACUUUAUUUGAUUUUUGUUGGGAUUUCUUUGUUAAAUUAUUUUUUAAUACUUUCUCCUAUGUCCCAGCAAUUCGACCUGAUGGUCUCCCUUACUUAUUUUCCACAUGGUUAAUGAAGCCGGGGGUUGUUUAUUGAAGAUUAUUUUUCAUAAAAUGGUUAAAUAAACUUUUUUAAAAUCUGAAUUGACUGUCUCUGAUUAACUGGAGCACUACAACGUGUUGGUCACAGUAAAAUCAUUUAGCAGUUAAGUUCAUAGCUCACAUUUGAAAAGGCCUUGAACUGACAUUAAUUUCUUCUUGACCAACAACAGCUAAGACAACAGCAAAGCUAACAGACGAGCUCAGCUUGUCACAGCCGGUCUCGUCUGAGAUAAAUGGCCUUCAAACUUAUUUAAUACUAAACAUUUA